This 435-nucleotide ribosomal RNA is filed under the name uncultured bacterium. RNAcentral's name for it is "partial 16S ribosomal RNA". It matches the Rfam family "Bacterial small subunit ribosomal RNA", at positions 29 to 507 of the family's 1533-position model. The record is from RNAcentral.
AACGAACGCUGGCGGCAUGCCUAACACAUGCAAGUCGAACGGGUACCUUCGGGUGCUAGUGGCGCACGGGUGCGUAACGCGUGGGAAUCUGCCCUUGGGUUCGGAAUAACUCAGCGAAAGCUGUGCUAAUACCGGAUGAUGUCGAAAGACCAAAGAUUUAUCGCCCGAGGAUGAGCCCGCGUUGGAUUAGCUAGUUGGUGGGGUAAAGGCCUACCAAGGCGACGAUGCAUAGCUGGUCUGAGAGGAUGAUCAGCCACACUGGGACUGAGACACGGCCCAGACUCCUACGGGAGGCAGCAGUGGGGAAUAUUGGACAAUGGGCGAAAGCAUGAUCCAGCAAUGCAGCGUGAGUGAUGAAGGCCUUAGGGUUGUAAAGCUCUUUUACCCGGGAUGAUAAUGACAGUACCGGGAGAAUAAGCUCCGGCUAACUCCGUG